RNAcentral lists this transfer RNA (75 nucleotides) under Roseibacillus sp. Its description in RNAcentral is "tRNA-Asn". It matches the Rfam family "tRNA". Rfam says of the family: Transfer RNA (tRNA) molecules are approximately 80 nucleotides in length. Their secondary structure includes four short double-helical elements and three loops (D, anti-codon, and T loops). RNAcentral also lists the same sequence under 1 other name. The record is from RNAcentral. Lineage: Bacteria; Pseudomonadati; Verrucomicrobiota; Verrucomicrobiia; Verrucomicrobiales; Verrucomicrobiaceae.
UCCUGCGUAGCUCAGCGGUAGAGCGGGUGGCUGUUAACCACUAGGUCGUAGGUUCGAAUCCUACCGCAGGAGCCA